Molecule: ribosomal RNA, 613 nt
Filed under: Cladophialophora arxii
Lineage: Eukaryota; Fungi; Ascomycota; Eurotiomycetes; Chaetothyriales; Herpotrichiellaceae
Description: eukaryotic LSU rRNA
Rfam family: Eukaryotic large subunit ribosomal RNA
Source: RNAcentral
GCAUAUCAAUAAGCGGAGGAAAAGAAACCAACAGGGAUUGCCUCAGUAACGGCGAGUGAAGCGGCAACAGCUCAAAUUUGAAAUCUGGCCUCUCGGGGUCCGAGUUGUAAUUUGUAGAGGAUGUUUCGGGUACCGCCUCGGUUUAAAUUUCUUGGAACAGAAUGUCAGAGAGGGUGAGAAUCCCGUCUUGGACCGGUGGUAGGGCCUAUGUGAAACUCCUUCGACGAGUCGAGUUGUUUGGGAAUGCAGCUCAAAAUGGGUGGUAAAUUUCAUCUAAAGCUAAAUAUUGGCCAGAGACCGAUAGCGCACAAGUAGAGUGAUCGAAAGAUGAAAAGCACUUUGAAAAGAGAGUUAAACAGUAUGUGAAAUUGUUGAAAGGGAAGCGCUUGCAACCAGACUUGAGCGCGGCGGUUCCCCCUUGCUUCUGCUUGGGUUACUCCGCCGUGUCCAGGCCAACAUCGGUUCUGGGGGUCGGUUAAAGGCCCUGGGAAUGUAUCUACCUACGGGUAGACUUAUAGACCAGGGUGUCAUGCGACCUCCCGGGACCGAGGAACGCGCUUCGGCUCGGAUGUUGGCGUAAUGGUUGUCAGCGACCCGUCUUGAAACACGGACC